Molecule: non-coding RNA, 1865 nt
Organism: Zonotrichia albicollis (white-throated sparrow)
Lineage: Eukaryota; Metazoa; Chordata; Aves; Passeriformes; Passerellidae
Source: RefSeq, a predicted model, not a curated record
UGAAUAAUCAAUUCUCGCCUUGCUGGGGACAUUAAGAACGAGGAGCGGUGUUGGGAGCGGCAGCCGAUCCCGGCGGGCUCACCGCUGUGGGAUCCUCGGAUCUCCUCGCUGGCUGCAGCAUUUCCAUCACCUGCCACAAACUGCUGCAAGAAACCGGCGGGUCUGGGCUCUGCCAGCCCCUUCCAGCGCAGGACAGGAGCUCUAGGACAGACACAGAACAGGACCAGAGCCACGACCCCGAGACAAGGAGCCUUUCUUCCCUUGACAGGCUCCGGCUGCCCGAGACAAAAUAUCCGGAGCUGGGAUUCACUGGCUCUCUUUGCUGCCCAGGAGCAUGAGGGGCUGCAGAAGGAGGUGGCAGCAGCUCAGUGGUCCCCGUCAGCCCCCACACACCCCAACUGUGCCCAACACCUCUGGACACUGCUCUGCUGGGAUCACAGGGGUAUCAGUCUCCCAUGAAUUCUUCCAGCAGCAGUAGUACCCCGAGGUGGGAAUAACUCCAUCCUGAAGGUUUGGCCUCAGGCAAACUGUAGAAAGAGAAGGGGCUUACUGGAAGCGGCGUGGAUACCUAUGGAUCCCAGAUGGCUCCUCUGGGAAGCAGCUCCACCAUAAAUACUGGAAAUAGGCACGGAGCAGUUUUAACCAGCAAAUUCCUCCCUGCUUAGCACGGUAACAGGUCCUGGGAUGUGGGAAGGGAUCCAUGAGGAAGGACGAGAGGUGUUUGCAGGGAUGCAGCGCACUUUGCAUGCGGCUCCGCUCCCCUUCCCGCUGAGGGGAGAAGAAGGGGAGGAUUUUACGUUUCAUUUACGAGGCAUUCCGGGCUCUGCGGCUCGCCAAGAGCCGGAGGGAAGUGCCACAGGGAGGGAGGGACGGAGACGUGACAGCGCACACAAAGGGAGCCCGAGCGGCGGCUCCGCUCGCAUACCAAUGUGGCCAGGUGGGGACAGCUCCGGGGACAGGCCCGGGACACCUCCAGGGACAGCUCCAGGGACUGCCCGGGCCCGGUGACUCCUGGCCGGCAGAAUGGGCUCUCACAGCCCGGUGAUCCCGGCUCCAUUCCCAAGAACUAACCACGGGAUGGGGAUCCAGCCCCGGGGCCAGGCUCUCCCGGAGCAAUUCCGGAUCCAGCCCGGGCAGGGAGCGGCUCCUGCGCUGCCGGGACCCGAGCGGGGCUCCAGGCCCUGAACAAAAGCAAAGCUUUGAUCUGGGCUCCUAAAGAAGCUUCCAGCCCCCAGUUCUACAGGACGGAAGGCACCAAGGGGAAGCAGAGAGGCAGCUCCUCCAGAGGGGUCUGGGGCACACCAGGGACCCCGAGCUGGGCGGGAGAGCAGGAUGGGGAAUUUUAAAGGGAACACACACACACACACAUCGGGAAUAAGCGCAGGAGAACGGCCGCAGUGCCUCAGCCAAGCCCUCGCACUGCCCAUCUUCCCCGCAGGAAUCGUUCUGUGGGAAGGUGAGGGAGCAGCUCUCGUGUUUCCACUGCUCUCUUCCCAGGAAUCUGCAGCUCAGGGGCUUCCCCAGGUGGUCACAGCCCUGCUUUCCACAGGCUUGUCCCCUUCUCCCGUGGAGCCCCGGUGCCAGCCCCACAGCGUCCCUCGGCAGCGCCUCCGUCCCUCGUUCCGUGCUCUUCUCCCAUCGUGGGAUGCCCCCUAAUGCUCACAGCGCAGCAUCCCGGCCUGCAGCCGCGUGUCAGCACUUACCGGGCUCCAGAAUCCUCUCUCUAGUCCCCCUGGUACAUCCCUGGAUCCAGAAUCCUCUCUCCAGCCCCCCUGGCACAUCCCUGGAUCCAGAAUCCUCUCUCCAGCCCCCCUGGCACAUCCCUGGAUCCAGAAUCCUCUCUCUAGCCCCCCUGGUACAUCCCA